RNAcentral lists this long non-coding RNA (219 nucleotides) under Erythranthe guttata (spotted monkey flower). Its description in RNAcentral is "long non-coding RNA (EGUT_LNC000223)". The record is from RNAcentral. Lineage: Eukaryota; Viridiplantae; Streptophyta; Magnoliopsida; Lamiales; Phrymaceae.
AGGACUUGAUAGUUUCCGGCAGUAUGACGCCGUACAGGGAGAGCGAUGCUCUGGUUUCAGCACUUCGGAUGCGGUGAUCACAGUAGCCGGUGGCCGAGAAGAAAUACGCAAUACAUGUUACGUAAAUUAAGUGAAAGAAACAUACAAAUAUAGAUGCAAUAAGAUAUAAAGCUUGGCCACAUAUUGAUUAAAUGGCAAUCAUGAUAAAUACUCAGCUGG